AAUAGAUACCCCGGUAGUCCUAGCCGUAAACGAUGCAUACUUGGUGUAGUCGGACUCAACCCCGACUGUGCCGUAGCCAACGCGUUAAGUAUGCCGCCUGGGGAGUACGCUCGCAAGGGUGAAACUCAAAAGAAUUGACGGGGACCCGCACAAGCAGUGGAGCAUGUGGUUUAAUUCGAUGCAACGCGAAGAACCUUACCCAGACUUGACAUGUAGCGGACCGCCUCAGAAAUGAGGUUUUCUGUAUAGACUGCUACACAGGUGCUGCAUGGCUGUCGUCAGCUCGUGCCGUGAGGUGUUGGGUUAAGUCCCGCAACGAGCGCAACCCUUAUCGUUAGUUGCCAGCAUUUCGGAUGGGAACUCUAACGAGACUGCCUGGGUUAACCAGGAGGAAGGUGAGGAUGACGUCAAGUCCGCAUGGCCCUUAUGUCUGGGGCUACACACGUGCUACAAUGGCCGGUACAGAAGGCAGCGAAGCCGCGAGGUGAAGCUAAUCCGAAAAAGCCGGUCCCAGUUCGGA
RNAcentral lists this ribosomal RNA (520 nucleotides) under uncultured bacterium. RNAcentral describes it as "bacterial SSU rRNA". It matches the Rfam family "Bacterial small subunit ribosomal RNA", at positions 777 to 1297 of the family's 1533-position model. The record is from RNAcentral.